UAGCUUUCUCAGUUUUAGUUUUGAGAAACAGAUUGAAAGAGAGAACGAGAGAAACAAAUCGAGAUCUGGAGAAAGAGAAAGAUCGAAUGAGAAAAUGAUUGCAAUGUUGAUUUCCGGGUUUUCAACUUCUGAUCUAAAUCGAUUGAGAGAGAAAUAAACACCAGAUUUUUAUGAUUAAAUUUAGGAUUUUAAUUCAGUUUAAUGGGCUCAAAAUGAAUCUCUUCAUGAGCAUCUCUUCAAGCUUAGUUCAGGAAAAAUUGGUUCGUUCUUCAACUCGUAAUGCAUGCCAAACGGGGUUUGAUUCUCACUUUUUGUUUCUUGAUUUUUAUUUUUUGCCUUCUCGAGAUUUAGCUCGCAGUUUUCGUCUAUUUUUAUCUGAAAUAGUUAUCAUUGUUAUUCAAAAUUUUAUUGUUAACAAUAGGCUUUAAAUGAAAUACUUAAAUAAAUGUUUAAUUUCUGAGUUCAGUCUUUAGUUAAGAAAAACUAAUUCCUUGCAACUUUCAAUUUGAGGUAAUCUGUGUUACUUUUGAAUGGAUCCAUACCAUUUCUGUAUUGGUUAUGUUUACACUGCACAAUUUGAACAAGCAAUCAGAUUAUUUGAUCUUUUGCAGACCAAUUCUGUGAAACCAAACGAGAUUGCAAUGAUGAAUGUUUUGUCUGCUUGUUCUGGUUUGGGUGGAUUAUAACUUGGUAAAAAACUUCAUAUCUCUACAAGCAUCAGUGAAUGUUUAAUCCGUGUAGAAAAUCUUUACACAUUCAAACUGGUUGAAAUUCUGCACACAUUCAACCUGUGUAGGAAAUAUGCACACAUUCAAUCUGUGCCGAAAAUAUGCAUGUUCAAUCUAAUGAUAUGUUUUAAUUUUUGUACAUCGCUGGAAACAUGAUAAAUCUUUAAUUUUUGUACAUAUUGCUUGUGUUGUGAAUGUUAUAUAUUUCAUUUUUAUUCAUCAUACUUAAGUUCAUUCCACAAAUGCACUGUAUAUAGCAAAUUAUGCACUUUAAUCCGGAGAUGUUGCUAACCAAAACCAACAAACUAGUUUUGUUGGAUCGGCUGGUUGGUCCAUGUAGGUCUCUGGAUGCGGUUUAUGGAGCCGGCGAUGUUGAACUAGCAUUGGUGCAGUAAAUUCAGUUUACUAAUUCUUGCAAAUAUUCGUUUAUGGAGACGGCGGUGUUGCACUUAACAAUACAUAUAUGGUUAAUUGAGCCAUGUCUGUAGACAAACAAGGAUGGAAGAAAGAGAGCAUAGACAGUCCUCGUCAGACAGGAAAAAGUUUGGAUACAUGUUGAUAGGUUUCAAGCUUUUUAUUUUAGAUUGUCAAGCGAGUUUGAGUCUGUAUUUGUGAAAUUUACAAUUGUGACUCUAAAAGUCUGCUAAUGUAUUAUGAGUUAUUUUUAGAAUCUAGACGGGAAAAAGUUGGAUGCAUGUAGAUAGGUCUCAAGCUAUUGUCCGCAGUUUUUUUUA
Molecule: long non-coding RNA, 1462 nt
Organism: Papaver somniferum (opium poppy)
Lineage: Eukaryota; Viridiplantae; Streptophyta; Magnoliopsida; Ranunculales; Papaveraceae
Exons: 2
Source: RefSeq, a predicted model, not a curated record